RNAcentral lists this ribosomal RNA (367 nucleotides) under uncultured archaeon. Its description in RNAcentral is "bacterial SSU rRNA". It matches the Rfam family "Archaeal small subunit ribosomal RNA", at positions 453 to 819 of the family's 1478-position model. The record is from RNAcentral.
CGGUGCCAGCCGCCGCGGUAAUACCGGCAGCCCGAGUGAUGGCCGAUCUUAUUGGGCCUAAAGCGUCCGUAGCUGGGUCUGAAAGUCCAUCGGGAAAUCCACUCGCUCAACGAGUGGCCGUCCGGUGGAAACUCCACACCUUGGGACCGGAAGGCUCGAAGGGUACGGCCGGGGUAGGAGUGAAAUCCUGUAAUCCCGUCCGGACCACCGAUGGCGAAAGCACUUCGAGAAAACGGAUCCGACAGUGAGGGACGAAAGCUAAGAUCGCGAACCGGAUUAGAUACCCGGGUAGUCUUAGCCGUAAACAAUGUUCGUUAGGUAUGACACAGACUACGCGUCUGUGUUGUGCCGUAGGGAAGCCGAGAAA